AUUUGCAUCGUUUCUUUUCUUUUUUCACCAAAUCCUUCCAUCCAAACGGAGCAUAAGAGACAAGGCGUGAAACGCUAUAAAUUCCCAAUCAAAACCCUAAAAUAAUAUCCACAAACCAAUUGAUGAAGCCCCAACUUCAAAACUUCCCAUUGAAGUUUCCUAAAGAGAGACGGGAUUGAAAGAGGAAGAAGGGAAGUGAGAGGUGGCGUUGGAGUUGGAGUCGCUGGAGGAGGAAUAAGGGGUCGGCGCUUUGCAGCACUGGAAAAGGAAGAGAGAUGUAUCGCUGACGAUAAUGGCGACGGCAACUGUGACAGUGACAGUGGCAUAAUGGGGACAUCACUGGUAACGUAGAUGGAGAUGACAUAACAAUCGAUUGAAUAGGGCUAGCUAAUUCAUUUAAUUUUAUCUUUAUUGUUAUUGUCAAGCGAUUAUUUCUGUACAUGGAAAGAAGAGUAUGAUGUAGCUGGCCGAGAGAAUGGUGAUAAGCUUUUGUGGUGGAGUGGGUGCAUCCGUUACUCACACAUGGACGACAUUAACUAGAAGCGGUGCUGAUGACAUAAGGGUCAUGACCCGAAGGAGCAUUGGCGAUAGAGGCCGCCCACCUUCGCGAUGCUCACCAUCGGAAUGAGUGCAAGUGAUCAAGUUGUUGACAGUCGCGACAAAUCCGAUGGUAACUGUUGGAGUACUAUCAACCAAAAUCUGAAAUGAAACUGUCACUAGAGAUCCACCAGGAUUAGCCUCACCAAUGCCACUUCCAUGUCGACUUGGCCCAUCUGGCAGCACAGCGAAUCCUGACGGAAGAAGAGCCACAUUGUCCGGGUUUCCCCCAUGUAACACCGUAUUCAUCGCAGUACCAUCCACAGGAGCAUAAAUGACGAAUGAGCCAGUCGGGUCAAUGCUACUUUCUUGAAGUAUCAGCAUGUUGUUCUGAUCUCCAAAAAUGCUCUAAAGAUUAUUUGCAAAAGGUUUCAGCUCUGUGACCAUUAGCGAUAUGUGCUAUUUCUUGAAUCACUCCACCACUGGAAAGGAUGUCCCACUGUGAUUGUAAGGCAAUAAGCGGUGAUCAGUGCUAGAUAUAUUCUUCAAAUCAAACCAGCAAGAUAUUCA
Molecule: long non-coding RNA, 1107 nt
Organism: Camellia sinensis
Lineage: Eukaryota; Viridiplantae; Streptophyta; Magnoliopsida; Ericales; Theaceae
Source: RefSeq, a predicted model, not a curated record